Emericellopsis atlantica is the source of this 72-nucleotide non-coding RNA. NCBI's taxonomy places the organism in Eukaryota, Fungi, Ascomycota, Sordariomycetes, Hypocreales, Bionectriaceae. The record is from the annotation of a RefSeq genome assembly.
GCCCCUAUAGCUCAGUGGUAGAGCGUUGCACUUGUAAUGCAAAGGCCCAUCGUUCAAGUCGGUGUGGGGGCA